RNAcentral lists this transfer RNA (69 nucleotides) under Rattus norvegicus (Norway rat). It matches the Rfam family "tRNA". From Rfam's summary of the family: Transfer RNA (tRNA) molecules are approximately 80 nucleotides in length. Lineage: Eukaryota; Metazoa; Chordata; Mammalia; Rodentia; Muridae. The record is from Rfam by way of RNAcentral.
GGGGAUUUAGCUCAGUGGUAGAGCGCUUGCCUAGGAAGCGCAAGGGUCCUGGGUUCGGUCCCCAGCUCA